GCAUGCCAGUGAUGAUUAAAGAUAGUAUGGUGAAUUCGAUGAAUAUGCUCGCGUACCACUGAGUACGCAGCUGUGGUGAUAUACAUACAUUCAGUUCAUCUGAGGCUAGC
This 110-nucleotide small nucleolar RNA is filed under the name Leersia perrieri. RNAcentral's name for it is "snoRNA snoZ188". It matches the Rfam family "Small nucleolar RNA Z188". From Rfam's summary of the family: Z188 is a member of the C/D class of snoRNA which contain the C (UGAUGA) and D (CUGA) box motifs. Most of the members of the box C/D family function in directing site-specific 2'-O-methylation of substrate RNAs. The record is from Rfam by way of RNAcentral. Lineage: Eukaryota; Viridiplantae; Streptophyta; Magnoliopsida; Poales; Poaceae.